This 293-nucleotide long non-coding RNA is filed under the name Ananas comosus (pineapple). Its description in RNAcentral is "long non-coding RNA (ACOM_LNC009914)". Lineage: Eukaryota; Viridiplantae; Streptophyta; Magnoliopsida; Poales; Bromeliaceae. The record is from RNAcentral.
UGAUGCGCCGAACCCAAAAUCAAACUGCACCACAACUUUCGGCACUGCCAGACUAUUAAAGUAGUGUUUUUGUUUCGUCUGAAACAGUCGCCGAUUCGCGGAAUAAGCCCUCUCUCUAUAUCCAAAUUUUCAAAAUAAUUUCAAAAUUCUAAUUCUAAUUUGAAUUUAAAUAACUCUAAUUCAAAAUUUAUAGUCAUUACACCUAUGAACCAGUUUAUUUUAAUAUGAUUUUAUCCAAAAAAAAUAUCGAGAUCACUGAAAAUCUGAAAUAAUUCUUCUGUUUCUUUUUCUUU